Molecule: ribosomal RNA, 629 nt
Filed under: Salmonella enterica
Lineage: Bacteria; Pseudomonadati; Pseudomonadota; Gammaproteobacteria; Enterobacterales; Enterobacteriaceae
Also listed under: 8 other names
Description: partial 23S ribosomal RNA
Rfam family: Bacterial large subunit ribosomal RNA
Source: RNAcentral
GUCUGCAUGGAGCCGACCUUGAAAUACCACCCUUUAAUGUUUGAUGUUCUAACGUGGACCCGUGAUCCGGGUUGCGGACAGUGUCUGGUGGGUAGUUUGACUGGGGCGGUCUCCUCCUAAAGAGUAACGGAGGAGCACGAAGGUUGGCUAAUCCUGGUCGGACAUCAGGAGGUUAGUGCAAUGGCAUAAGCCAGCUUGACUGCGAGCGUGACGGCGCGAGCAGGUGCGAAAGCAGGUCAUAGUGAUCCGGUGGUUCUGAAUGGAAGGGCCAUCGCUCAACGGAUAAAAGGUACUCCGGGGAUAACAGGCUGAUACCGCCCAAGAGUUCAUAUCGACGGCGGUGUUUGGCACCUCGAUGUCGGCUCAUCACAUCCUGGGGCUGAAGUAGGUCCCAAGGGUAUGGCUGUUCGCCAUUUAAAGUGGUACGCGAGCUGGGUUUAGAACGUCGUGAGACAGUUCGGUCCCUAUCUGCCGUGGGCGCUGGAGAACUGAGGGGGGCUGCUCCUAGUACGAGAGGACCGGAGUGGACGCAUCACUGGUGUUCGGGUUGUCAUGCCAAUGGCACUGCCCGGUAGCUAAAUGCGGAAGAGAUAAGUGCUGAAAGCAUCUAAGCACGAAACUUGCCCCGA